GACAGAGGGUGCAAACGUUGUUCGGAAUUACUGGGCGUAAAGCGCGUGUAGGCGGCUAAGUAAGUCGGGCGUGAAAUCCCACGGCUCAACCGUGGAAGUGCACUCGAAACUGCAUAGCUAGAGUCCUGGAGAGGAAGGUGGAAUGCUUGGUGUAGAGGUGCAAUUCGUAGAUAUCAAGCGGAACACCGGUGGCGAAGGCGGCCUUCUGGACAGUGACUGACGCUGAGACGCGAAAGCGUGGGGAGCAAACAGG
Molecule: ribosomal RNA, 253 nt
Filed under: uncultured bacterium
Lineage: Bacteria
Description: partial 16S ribosomal RNA
Rfam family: Bacterial small subunit ribosomal RNA
Source: RNAcentral